Long non-coding RNA from Strigops habroptila (Kakapo), 755 nucleotides. RefSeq lists it as uncharacterized. The record is from RefSeq and is a predicted model, not a curated record. The transcript is spliced from 3 exons. NCBI's taxonomy places the organism in Eukaryota, Metazoa, Chordata, Aves, Psittaciformes, Psittacidae.
GCCCCGCGACGCAGGGAGGCGGGAGCGGGCGGUGUCGGCGCUGUCCCGGGGCAUGUGCGUUGCACGGGUGCGGUUAGCAGUGUAAGCUAAGGUGUUACCGCAAGGGCGGGGUGGGGGAGAAAUGGCGGCCGGCAGCGAAAGGGCCGGUGCUGUGGCAGCUGCCGCCGCCGCGGCAGGGGGAGCAGUGCUGGUGUGCUCUGGGAGGGGAGCGCACGUCAGGUCAGUCUGUGGGGAGCGAGCAACCCCUCUCCAGCCCCAGGCUGGCAAGGGAGCCAAGAGCAGCUCGUGGAGGAAGCCAGGAGAAGCCCUAGCUGCAGGUAGCUGGCGGAACUGCGUUAUGCCGGGUGCAUCGUCUUAUGGAGGGGCUUUGAAUCUUAAAGAAAAGUUAUGCUGAAACAAUUUGUUUUUCAUACUUCUUCAGGCACAGGAGAGAGUAACAAUCCGAUUGCAUAUGAUUCGAAGAGACAACAAUAUAUCUGCAGGUGCCUUUUGUGGACACAUCAAGAGAAUUGGUGGCAGGCUGCAAUUCCAAAGAUUUUCAUAUUAGAACUGAAAACCGAGACUUCUGUUUGUUCAAGUUUUGAGUCUGGACCAUCCCACACUUUGCAGAACUUUGCCCAGCCGUUUUCAUGGAUACAGAGCAUUUUCAUGAGCCCUGACAUAAAAACUUCUGAGACACAGUAUUUCUGUACUUGAAGGUCUUUCUUCUGCCACUUUUAACAGAAUAUUAAAGUACACACUUCUUGAAAACAUUG